CGUAGGGUCCGAGCGUUGUCCGGAAUUAUUGGGCGUAAAGGGCUCGUAGGCGGUCCGUCACGUCGGGAGUGAAAACUUGGAGCUCAACUCCGAGCCUGCUUCCGAUACGGGCAGACUAGAGGUAGGCAGGGGAGAGCGGAACUCCUGGUGUAGCGGUGGAAUGCGCAGAUAUCAGGAAGAACACCGGUGGCGAAGGCGGCUCUCUGGGCCUUACCUGACGCUGAGGAGCGAAAGCGUGGGUAGCGAACAGGAUUAGAUACCCUGGUAGUCCACGCCGUAAACGUUGGGCGCUAGGUGUGGGGGACAUUCCACGUCCUCCGUGCCGCAGCUAACGCAUUAAGCGCCCCGCCUGGGGAGUACGGCCGCAAGGCUA
RNAcentral lists this ribosomal RNA (373 nucleotides) under uncultured organism. Its description in RNAcentral is "bacterial SSU rRNA". It matches the Rfam family "Bacterial small subunit ribosomal RNA", at positions 526 to 896 of the family's 1533-position model. The record is from RNAcentral.